RNAcentral lists this long non-coding RNA (560 nucleotides) under Homo sapiens (human). Its description in RNAcentral is "HSALNT0261940". The record is from RNAcentral. Lineage: Eukaryota; Metazoa; Chordata; Mammalia; Primates; Hominidae.
AAUGUUUCUCUCCAGUGUGGAUCGCAUGAUGAUUAGUGAGGCUUGAACGCAUACUAAAAGCUUUGCCACAUUCAUUACAUUUGAAAGGUUUCUCUCCAGUAUGGAUUCUGUGAUGUUGUACAAGAUGUGAAUUUUGACUGAAUGCUUUGUCACAUUCAUCACACUUAUAAGGUUUCUCACCGGCAUGAAUUAUCAGAUGUUGGGCAAGGUAUGAAUUGCGACUGAAGACCUUGCCACAUUCAUUACAUUUGUAAGGUUUCUCUCCAGUGUGGAUUCUCUGAUGUUGUGCAAGGUGUGAAAUAUGAUGGAAGACCUUUCCACAUACAUUACAUCUGUAAGGUUUCUCUCCAGUAUGAAUGAUCAGAUGUUGUACAAGGUAGGAAUUGCGACUGAACACCUUGCCACAUUUGUUACAUUCGUAAGGUUUUUCUCCAGUAUGAAUUGUCCGAUGUUGUGCAAGGUGUGAAAUUUGAUUAAAGACCUUGCCACAUUCAUUACAUUUAUAUGGUUUCUCUCCAGUAUGAAUCCUGCGAUGCUGUGCAAGGUGUGACAUAUUAUGG